RNAcentral lists this ribosomal RNA (244 nucleotides) under uncultured bacterium. RNAcentral's name for it is "partial 16S ribosomal RNA". It matches the Rfam family "Bacterial small subunit ribosomal RNA", at positions 87 to 334 of the family's 1533-position model. The record is from RNAcentral.
CGGGAUUAGUGGCGAACGGGUGAGUAACAUAUCGGAACGUACCCAGUAAUGGGGGAUAACUAGUCGAAAGACUGGCUAAUACCGCAUACGCCCUGAGGGGGAAAGCGGGGGAUCGAAAGACCUCGUGUUAUUGGAGCGGCCGAUAUCUGAUUAGCUAGUUGGUGGGGUAAAGGCCUACCAAGGCGACGAUCAGUAGCUGGUCUGAGAGGACGACCAGCCACACUGGAACUGAGACACGGUCCAG